AUUGCUUCUUAGCCUUUUGGCAAAGAUCAAGUGUAGUUACCUGCUCUUAUCAGUUUAUUAUCAUACGUCUGUAGAUCGAGGACCACGCCUUACGGUAAACGGAUUUUUGGAGCAGGGAGAUGAAACAGGAGAUUGCUCCCUCCAAGCUGUGCAUCCACCUGGAAGAGUGUACCUUCAGGAACAGUGCACACCCU
Pteronotus mesoamericanus is the source of this 194-nucleotide small nuclear RNA. RefSeq annotates it as U2 spliceosomal RNA. NCBI's taxonomy places the organism in Eukaryota, Metazoa, Chordata, Mammalia, Chiroptera, Mormoopidae. The record is from RefSeq and is a predicted model, not a curated record. The transcript has a single exon.